RNAcentral lists this ribosomal RNA (1373 nucleotides) under Salmonella enterica subsp. enterica serovar Typhimurium. RNAcentral describes it as "partial 23S ribosomal RNA". It matches the Rfam family "Bacterial large subunit ribosomal RNA", at positions 163 to 1495 of the family's 2925-position model. Lineage: Bacteria; Pseudomonadati; Pseudomonadota; Gammaproteobacteria; Enterobacterales; Enterobacteriaceae. The record is from RNAcentral.
UCCAUAGGUUAAUGAGGCGAACCGGGGGAACUGAAACAUCUAAGUACCCCGAGGAAAAGAAAUCAACCGAGAUUCCCCCAGUAGCGGCGAGCGAACGGGGAGGAGCCCAGAGCCUGAAUCAGCAUGUGUGUUAGUGGAAGCGUCUGGAAAGGCGCGCGAUACAGGGUGACAGCCCCGUACACAAAAGCGCAUGUGCUGUGAGCUCGAUGAGUAGGGCGGGACACGUGGUAUCCUGUCUGAAUAUGGGGGGACCAUCCUCCAAGGCUAAAUACUCCUGACUGACCGAUAGUGAACCAGUACCGUGAGGGAAAGGCGAAAAGAACCCCGGCGAGGGGAGUGAAAAAGAACCUGAAACCGUGUACGUACAAGCAGUGGGAGCACCCUUCGGGGUGUGACUGCGUACCUUUUGUAUAAUGGGUCAGCGACUUAUAUUCUGUAGCAAGGUUAACCGAAUAGGGGAGCCGGAGGGAAACCGAGUCUUAAUUGGGCGUUAAGUUGCAGGGUAUAGACCCGAAACCCGGUGAUCUAGCCAUGGGCAGGUUGAAGGUUGGGUAACACUAACUGGAGGACCGAACCGACUAAUGUUGAAAAAUUAGCGGAUGACCUGUGGCUGGGGGUGAAAGGCCAAUCAAACCGGGAGAUAGCUGGUUCUCCCCGAAAGCUAUUUAGGUAGCGCCUCGUGAAUUCAUCUCCGGGGGUAGAGCACUGUUUCGGCUAGGGGGCCAUCCCGGCUUACCAACCCGAUGCAAACUGCGAAUACCGGAGAAUGUUAUCACGGGAGACACACGGCGGGUGCUAACGUCCGUCGUGAAGAGGGAAACAACCCAGACCGCCAGCUAAGGUCCCAAAGUCAUGGUUAAGUGGGAAACGAUGUGGGAAGGCCCAGACAGCCAGGAUGUUGGCUUAGAAGCAGCCAUCAUUUAAAGAAAGCGUAAUAGCUCACUGGUCGAGUCGGCCUGCGCGGAAGAUGUAACGGGGCUAAACCAUGCACCGAAGCUGCGGCAGCGAACGUAUCACCCAAGACAACUUUACGGAGUUGACGAUUGACGGAGCGAAGCGACGUCAAAGCGUUCAUUAAAGUCGAGUUGGCUUAGGGAUACGUUCGUUGGGUAGGGGAGCGUUCUGUAAGCCUGUGAAGGUGUGUCGUGAGGCAUGCUGGAGGUAUCAGAAGUGCGAAUGCUGACAUAAGUAACGAUAAAGCGGGUGAAAAGCCCGCUCGCCGGAAGACCAAGGGUUCCUGUCCAACGUUAAUCGGGGCAGGGUGAGUCGACCCCUAAGGCGAGGCCGAAAGGCGUAGUCGAUGGGAAACGGGUUAAUAUUCCCGUACUUGGUGUUACUGCGAAGGGGGGACGGAGAAGGCUAUGUUGGCCGGG